AGCAGUAAAGUCUAGAAAGAGAGUUCAAAACCCUCCAGCCCCUAGGAAAACAGAGGUCUACCAGGUUAGCUUUUUGAGCGGGAUGUAUUCAAUGUGCCACACCCCUGUGCAAAAGGUUGGAACCUUUUGGCUAAGGUAACACCACUCAUGUUCUGAAGUAUAUAUAUUUAUAUUCAGGGUGCUGUGAAUAACCCCAGUUUUUGCCUUCCUUUGAAAAUUGGCUGUGCUGUUAUUCAUCUUGGAUGUCAAGAUUUUCUUCUACUGGCUAGGUCGUCCUGGUUUAAUCUAAUGUUUCAUUUCCUCCCAACAAAAUAAGAUAUUUGCAUCAAAUUCAGCAUUUCAAUAACAGUAGUGAAAAGUCCCUCUUUGUAAAAAGAUACAGCAUUACUUCCUGCCAUGAGUUCAUCUGCAUCAUCUCCAUUUAUUUCUCCUGGGUGAUGAGAAGACCUUUUGCAUUUGACCAAAAAGCGCUAGUAAAUAAGGAGUUAAAAUGAAGGCAGGCUCACUGGUUUGCUGAGAUCUGUCAGAGUCUGACUGGCUGGCUACAUAUCUGUCUCUGGAACAAUAGGUACCUGUAUUCUGCACGGACUGCUGGGCAGCACUGACACUCUGGAGAAGGUCUGCCUCUGUCUGCGCUUUCCUGGUUCUAUGCAGGCAGAUGAGUGCCACAGCUGUAACUGAGGCACAGAAUGAUAAACACAGUGAAGCCAAUUUCCAGGAUGGCGAGAGGGGGCACCGGAGGUGACAACAAUGACAAGGACCCAAGGACCGCCCUUUGGACAAGUUUUAGCCAGCGCUGAGUAUCUUCAGGAAAAACGAGGUCCAUAAGAAGUGGCAUCCUCCUCCAAUGGGAAGGUAAAAAAUUAAACAUUUUUUAAAGUGCAAUUUUCAAGCCAUUCCAUGUACUUCUUGCCAGUAGCAUUAGAAAGCCGCUUUCUAAAUAAAACUAAGAUUUGCGCCAUUCUUUCUAGCCAUAAGAGGUUUAAAGAAGAGAGUAUUAGGGAAUUUUAUCGUUAGUCAUUUUCUAAGGAUUGUCUAGCUUUUGUUAGCAAAAUGCAAUCAGGUGCUUCGUAUGUUUCCUGUCAGCCUUGAAAAACAGCAGGUUUUUGUUUUUUAGAGGACAUUAUCCUUUGGGGGAUCAAUAAAAACGAUCUUUAUUUUAUGUAGGUUUUAUUCCUAGGACUGGUAAAUAAGCACAGGGAUUGGGUGAUGUCGAAGGUCUUCUGUCAGCCUGAAAAUUCCUCAAAGAGCACUAGUUUUCAGAAAGAAGGCAUAAGGACGCCUUUAUUAGUGUUAAUUGAGCUUCUUCAACUGUCCAGCUCUUUUUCGUUGAGCAGCAGUUAAAAGUUCUGUGCUCUGUGGGACAGGUAACCAUUGUGGCUGGAAGUCAUUUUCAAAAACUGGAUUUUUGGAGGUAUUUUUUUUCUUUUUUUUAGUGCUUUAUGAAGACUUGGGUUUUGCAGAGCCCAAUUGGGGCUCCUUAACUUGGGUUUCUCACUUCAGGUCUUCUUGAAGGUAAUACUUUAUAUGAGUGGCUAAUUUCACGAGAAAUGUUUAAUUCUAGGUAUCCGAAGGCAAAUAUUUCCCAGUAUGUGGUAUGUAUCUCUGUGUGUAUGUGAACAUAUUUUAAUAUAAAAUGUCUUAUAAAUUUUACAUUGUGCUUUGCUUUGCUGUUAUUUCAAAGGAUUUAAGUGAAUGUUGGAUAGCGCUCAAUUUCCUGAAAUGAUUAAAUUCCAUCUCUGAAGAAUCUGGGGAAAAGGCCUAUAAUGACAUUUUGAUGACUUUCAUUUUAAGGAAUAAUAGAAAUUGAGUAAAAUAUUUUAAUAGCUAUUCUCUAAUAUCUCAUUCCAAAUACAAUGUUUUUAUUGCUCAUUCUAGCUUACAAUUUUCUGGUGAUAAUAAUGUUGGCUGGUAAUUGUUUCUUAUGUAGAAAUCAUUCUAUCCUUAUGUAAAAGUUAUUUCAGAAAAGUCUUCAUGCAUUUAUCUCAGCUGAAGCAACCGCAUUGAACUCUUGAGAUAAAACAGUGAGUAUUUCCAGAUUCCUCCUAUUUUAAUUUGGUACUUCCUUACAAGAAUUAGGUGUAUCUUAAAGGGAGGAAUAUGACAAAUGAUAGUUUGUGGUAUAAAGAGGGAAAACAAUGAGACAAGUCAGGAGAAGGCUGAGAAGACAGAAUAAAUAUUAUGCGCUAUCACAAAAUUGACUUGGCAUCUCCCAGAUGUCAGGUACUUUUAAAUUUUAAAAACAGACUAAUAUCAAAUAUAUGUAUGUAAAUAUGCAGUCAUUAUAUCUGUCUAUAUUGAACAGGUCAAUGCAUGUAUGUAAACUUACUGUAAUUCCAGCUAAUGUUACCAGGAACACCUUAGCACCUCAAUUCUUUCAGGAGAUGUAGACACAAGUAAAGUUAAUCAUGUAGCUUUUAAAGAAUCAAAUCUUUUGGGAACUGGAGUUGUGACAUCUUAGAUCAAUUUUCACGUAAGUCAGAAUAAAAAUCUUAAAUCGGUUUUUCUGUGCAAGUUACACAAAGCCAUUAGCCUCCAAACUGCGUUGUUCUAAACACUAAUUAGAAAAAUUUGUAUGCAAUUUAACUUGAUUGUAGUGAAUAUUUACAGUCAGAAUAUUACAUUAUUGCCGAGUUAACACUCCAUCCAUGCAAUUUUUUAUAGAAGCAAAAUGAAGCUCUACUAUCUGCUUAUUCUCCUCUCUUAAUAUGUUUACUAGAUUUCCCCAAGUUUGCUUUCUUUUUGCACUUCAUACUGCCUUCCAGAUACCAGUGUUGCGGAGAAAUUAGUUACUCUUAGUUUCUUUCUGCCUACUAUAAUUCAGGGUUUUGUCUUUUUUGGUAUGCCAUUAUUCUUAUCUGUCAUCUAGACAAUUAUAUUGACUUUGAAGCUAUUUGUGUGACCUAUUCGUCUGUGUUUGGGCGGGAGAAGCUUGUUUCAUUAGAAAUUGUGUAUCGAGUGCUGAAAGAUUUGAGUUGCCUUUGGGAUGUUGUGCAAGGGCCUCAUAUUGGGAUCUAGAGUUUCCCAGUGGUAGCAAGUUACUUGCAUAAUUCAAUAAAAUCUUUCCUUCAAGCUACCUUACCUUAUUUUCCACCAAGUGGCAAGUCUCAGAUUUUCACUGAGCAUCAUCUAGGAAACUUAGUAUGAGAAAAACUGGCAGGGGUGGGACCCUCUUGGAUAGAGUGAAGGUGUCACUCUAGGUUACUCUUCUGAGAUGUUGGCAAGGAUACAUUGUAAAGUUUUAUCUACUGGUAUGUUGUGUUUAAUCACCUCUGUGAUCCAACAGCAGAUUUUAAUUUGCAUUACCAUCAGUCAGAUUCUUUUGUUUAAAGAGUACCAGAAUGAUUUAAGAAAAUACAAGCUAUGCUAAAAAUCUUAAUUACACACUCUCUCACUCACUAAUAAUUAAUCGAAGCGUUAAAAAAUUUGUUCAGAUUUUAAAAUGUGAAAAUUGUAGCUUGCUUAAUGGUAUUUAUAAUUUUUUUUUCAUCAGGAGAUGGCUCAUAUAGAAUCAUAAUCCCUGAGAUUCUCUAAAGUUGGUAGACUUUAUGAUCCUACACCCUAUAGUGAACAGAACUGUUUUACAUUUUUAAUAACAUCUCUGAGCCAUAAUUUAUGUUCUUAAUGUUGCCUGGCAUUAUUUAAGCACAACGUACUUGUGAUCUAUAAAUCUUUGAAAUUCCUGUAUUUUUCUGACGAUUGAAUUCACAGUUCAACUGCAGACUGAAAUAUACCAUAAGGCUAAGAAUUUCCUUAGAGAAAGAAAGACAAGGUAGCAAGCACACCAUGGUCAGGAACAUAUGGUGUACAGUUAAUUAUCAAAAUCCCAAGGGUUUUAACAUAGUUUACUGCAGGCAUCUUCAACAAUACUGGAUUUUCAGAAUAUGUUUGAAGACAAAUUUGAUUUGCUAGAAAUUUGAAACCGGGAAACCAAAUAAAUUAUUUUUAAAAUGUUCUCUCAUAAGGAUUUAGAAAAUAUUCAUUCAUUCAUUCCAUAAACAUUUAUUCAGUGCCUGCCUUGUGCCAGACACUAUUCUUGUGGCUCUUAAUUUAAUAUUCACCAUUAAUUCAACAGUCAUUAUUUGCCUGGUUUUGCAGAUUAUAGGAGUCUCGCCAGUUAGUCAUACCCUAUCAGCUAAUCACAUCACAAUCCAUAUCAUUUUGGAACUUGUUCUUCAAUGAUCUGUUCUUUAAAUGGCUUAAAAUAUAUUCUCUGCAUAUAUACCAAUUUAGAAGAAUAUAUUGGCAAAGCAGUCAGAAUAUGUUUUAAGAAGUUAUCUUGUCGAUGCGUAUUUAGAAGUGUCCAAAUGCAUCCUUCCCCCCUCAGUAGCUAGGCCCAUGAUGCAGCAAAUACUAAAUGGGUUUGUUACAUUUGCUUCCUUCUAAUGCUGCUCAUACUAUGUCCAGGGACCUCUAAUUCUAAUUGUUAAUGGUUAACAUUUAUUUUCUAUAUGCCAGUCAAGGUACUAAAUCCUUUACUUUUGUAUUCUUGUUUAAUCCUUCAAUUACAUUAUGAGAAAGGUAGUGUCACUAUCCUUGCUUGUAGAAGAGGAAACUGAGGUUUUGCGAAGUUAACUCCCUCGAGGUCACAGAGCUUGCAAGCAGCUGAGAUGACUUAAAAUCCAACCGUUUCAGAUUCUAUUCAUCCUUCCAGUCAUUCAGCCGAUGUUAUCGAGCUUUGAUGAUGUCCUAGGCCUGCUCAACAUGUUUAGAAUAAAGCAGUGGCUAGAACAGGCAAGCCUCUGCCCUUAGAAUAGGAGCACGUAGUCACUUGAUACAUUCAUUAUGUUAUUUCCCUUUGCAUCUAUGGAUUCCCCAGAACCAAUAGCAUAAAACAUUUGAAUUUCAAACCUUCUUUAGACCUCUCACUAUUUGGCUUCAGUCUUUCUUUCCAACUGCAUUAUUUACAGAUUUCAAAAGAGGAAUUUGCUAACCCGGAAGACCGGUCUGCUCCUUGCCUCCGCGAAGUUUACCUUGUGUUUCCUCCCACCAUUGCUGCCCCGAAACACUUUUGCCACUGCUUUCCCAACACUUCCCAUCCUUCUGCGUCUGGGUCAAAGCCCACGGUGCCAACGAAGUGCGUCUUAGAAACGAAAUCCUAAAGUUGUUUCAUCUGCAUUGAUCAUUUGACACAUGGCAUUUGCAACAACUAAAGAGAUGUGAGGCUAGGUAACAUUUCACGUGUUUCCUAUGUCCUGGCUGCUUUAGUACUUGUACAUGUGCCCAGCUGACGUGUUAGCAAAGAGUUCAGGGAACUAGCAGUAAAAUAAGAGAAGAAAAUAGAAGAGGAAAAGGACUGGAAAGCUUGGAAACAAGAGCCCCCCAGUCUAGCACAGUGCCUGGUAUAGAAUAUGCAGUUAAUGUACAUUUGAGGCUGGGAAGGGGAGAAGAGCAGCACAAAGGAAGGAGAGACUGACAAUAGGAGGAAAGUUAGCAGGGAAAGAGAAAAUAAUAUUCCUAAAUUGAUAGCCCCAGGCCUUGAAAGAUCUUUAAAUACUUAAUUGGUGUCAGAGAGCCCAUUAAGGAAUGCAUAGAUAUGCAAAAUCAUGAAAGACACACACUUGCAUGUAUGUUUUUGCCUUUUCCAGGAAUAAACUGUCCCUCUUAUCAACAUUAAUACUUUAGAUAUGGAAUGAACUUUCUGGUGUUUCUAAGAGCAAGGGCAAUUGUGUUAUGUUUGUGUAUGCUUAUCAUCACUAUUCAGGCCCACGGUACAGGGGACUCUAAGUUGGUUGUGUUGUUUUAUGCUGUGUAUGAUUAUUUCUCUAUCCCUUGGGACAUUAUUUAGUAUCACAGAAAUUGCUGGCCACCUUCCCCCCCCCCCAAGAGACUUCCUCUUAACCACAUAAAGUUUUAUUGGUUAAUACUUUAUGUCAGAUUUUUUUCUCAAUAAAAGCUAAGUUCAGUAUUCAAAAUCCUAAUGCAAUGUCCCCUCUACCAACAAGCAACUCUUGUGAUUAAUUUUAUUUAUGUUUUUCCUCCAUUGUAUUCAAAAGCAUAGCCUUGAAAUCUCUAGAAAAAUAUAUAUGUCUGUAUUUUGUGUGGGUUCUCAAAGCGAGUGCUUAAGGUAGAAAUUUUAUUUCAUAGGAAAAUCCAGGUAGAUAUUUCUUAAAGCAACUACUAUACAUGACCUUUGCUAUGGAGUUAUUUUACGGACUCACUAUAAGAGCCAUGGCUUGUAUACAUAGUUAUGACUUGUAGGGCUUACUUCAAGGAUGGAUCACUAAUACAUAAUGUAUUUGUACCGUGUAUUAAUCUCCCUGGGUAAAGUAAGGUAGAAAGGCUGCACCUUGAACCAGGAAACAUGAUAGCCUGUGUGUACCCUCUACUUUUAUGGGAGUACUCUGUUGAAGCAGCCCCAUUCUUUGGAAAUCCCUACUUGCUAGUUGAGGUAAGUGAGGAUAAAGCUUUCUCCAUGAGGCUUUGAGCUACAUCCUGCUUUUAGGAAACAAGGAAUAUUUCCACAGUCUGUAUUUGUAGUAGUAGCAGUUGAACAGCCCAUGAGAGUUCCAAAAACGAAAAUGUGCUCCAAGUGCUUAUCACAUGCCGUAUUGAUGUCAGUAAAAUGCUGAGGAUGAGCUCGUCUCCCCCUUAACCCUGACUUUCCAUGGUCCUUUCAUUUUGACACUAAUUUCAGGCAUGAACCUUGGCACUUAGCUAUAGUGUGUAAUUGUUGGUAUCUCGCUGCCACCUGGGUGCACAAUGGCGAACAAUAUUUAGCCCCUGUGAUUUGCCAUAAGAACACACCACAUGCAGUUGGAGAGGGAAAUAUUUAAUCAGCCAAUUUUCUCCAUGCAGUCAUAAUCCGUUGAGUUGGUUGAAGACUCUGUUUUCUCUGAAUUGACUGUUUGUUUUGUCACUGCAAAAAUAAAACCUUUGGCUCCCUCCCAAAUUCUUGUCAUGCAAAUUGGGGGACGUGGUCUAUCAAUUUGAAUGUCCAAACGAAAAGAAGGUAUUUUAACAAUGCAAAAUUAAAAACCCAUUUUGGUCAAAAGAUCUUUUUUUUUUAAGUUCCUUGAGUGCUCUGGUUUGUUGGCUCACUGUGGACGUAACAUGUGAAAGGCUGUGACGCAUGAAUGAUACUCUUCCAUUUUUAGGCAUGAUGAGGCUGUUGAUCUUUAAAAUAAAUUCCCUUUGGUGACAUUUACAAAAAUAGUUUCACUUUAGCAACUUUUAAUUUUAAUUUUUUAAUAAAUGACAAAAAUGGUAUAACUUCCCAGUGACGAGGAAGUCACCUAGGAAGUGGGUACUUACUUAAUGGAAACAGGAAAUACCCAUUGCUUCCCAUCAGAUGCUGUGCUUAUAAUCAGUCCAGAGAAAUAGCUUUGACUAAUAGGAAAAUGGUGUAAGAAUAGGAUUGUCUGUCUAAACAGGCAGCAUAUCAUCUUAAAGACUAAGGUCUAUUUUUUUAAUCCUGGUGCUUUCAAAGUGCUGGAAGGGUUUGAAUCCAGAACUUAGUCCUCAUUGUACUUUAAUUCUGCUAAUUCAGUGUAGUGCAAUGCGAUCCAGACUAACCUGCUUCAAGUCACUGUUACUCAUUGGAUUUCUGAUAUUUAUGAGUAUUUUAAACUUCCUUCUGUCAAUUAUCUCUUCGAUAGUAUUUAUUUUUUUGGCUGGGUAAGGAUAAUAAGAGAUGUUAGUACAUAGGACAAAGAAUUUCUCAUCUUUACCACAGAAUAUGAUAUUUUAAAGAGUUCAGAAUUUCUGUGUAGUUUGGGGGCUUUAUUGUUUUCAUUCUAAGCUGAAAUGAAGUUGGUACAGUGUGAGACCUUUCUAACUAAAAUGGUAUUGUUUUUACUUAGUAAUCAUGAUUAUUGUCAUAAAUUGGGAGAGACUUCAAAUCAUUUAUUUACUCAAUUAUUCAGUUGGCUUUUUUCCCCCUUAAUUAUCUUGUCUGACCAGUGUUGCUAAAGGCACUGAGGAUUUUACAACAGGCAAAAAUAUGAUGUUUCCCUCAUCAACUAUCAUAUAAUUGGAGAGAGAAAAAGAACUUUCAAGAAUUAAUUGGAUAAUAUAAUAAAAUUACUUAUAGCAAUCAUACUUCAGUUCUGUGAAGAGAGAAGCUAUUCCCUCACAGGUAGAAAGCAGUAUUAACAAUCAAAUGUAGCUUUUUGGCUCACAACAUUGUUUCAGAUUAUUUGUUGUGAGAACAGUAAUGAGUAUGUUCAGAAUAAAGGCUAGUUCUUGAAAAUGGAUUUUAUAAUUUUCAAUUUAUUUCAUCAGCGAAAAGAUUUUCGUUUCAAGAAGACUUAAAAAAAAUUAACCAUGUCACAGGGUUAGUUAUGAACGGUCCAAAACUUGCAAAUACUUUAUUGAAGGUUUAUAAUAAACAAUGUGUGUGUGGGUGGGUGGGGGUGGAGUUUAUUUACCAUUGCCUCAAUUGUACAUCAUGAUAGUCUUUUAAAAUUUGGACCCAAACGAAAAUUGAAAUGUUUUUUGAAAUACUUCAACUUCCUUGCUGUCUUGAGAAGACAGCCUAACAUAUUCUAGGCAAUGGAAAAUUUUUCAAAGCUGUAUUUAACAGUAUCCUUAGGUGUGUAAAGCCCUGCCCGGACUUUGUUCCCUGGCAGAAAUAUUACACCACUCACCCACAUGGCUGAAAACACUGGGCCAAGCAACACCUAACAUUAAGCAAAGAGCUUUCAGAUUUGUUCCUUAUUCGUCCUUACCACAAUUAUAAAAUUUGAGGAUUUUCAGGAAAAGCAACUUUGGAUGUAGGUACUUGCCAUUUACCAGGGCAGCCAAAGAUCAGCUAGCCAAAAAAUUGUUAAACUUUAAUUUACAAACCUUGAAGUUGUUGCCCUUAGUUAUGUUAAGACCUCCAUAUUGAAAAGCCCAGUAAUAAUCCAAUUAUUCUUACUUUUGAUCUUGUGGAGUUUAUAGACAUAGAGAAAAGAGCCUUGAGCGUUUCUGCCCUCUCUUCUGAGGGAAGGGAAGAAUUGGAGACAAAUGAGCACCCCAGUCCUAGGAGACAUCGCCUGUGGACAGUGUAUAUAGCAUUUGAUAAACCAGGAGGACAGAUGCCCUCAUAUUAAGGGACCAGGGGGAGGGUGCAGCAAAGGACUCAUUCUCCCGAGUCUCCUAUUAUGAAUGGACUUGUACUAGGUGCAUCAUAGGGAGACUCAGACAGAAGGAUACUUAAUGAUCCCCACUCAGAAAAUAGAGAGCAGCUUCCUGUCUAAAAAGUGGCAGCUCUGGGUUCUCAGUGUCUUUGAGAAGCAGGAUCCACCAUCCGUCUAAACAGAUAAGGAGAGCAAAGACACUAUGCACCUUCUCUCUGUGACUUGUGAAUGCCUUUGGUGUCCCCAAAUAAGGAAGUCCUUUCACUGCUGUCUACUCUAAGCUGUAUUUCAUUUUUGAUAGCCAUUUGCAGAAGACAUUUUCAGACUCCAUGAAAUGUAAAGAAAGUAUGUCUGAGAAAUUCUUCAGUUAUAUUUUUCCUACCUCCCCCAGCAGGUGAUUUGGAACAUGAAGUUUAUAAACUUAGAUACAUACCUCCUAUCAAUCUCUACCUUUAAAACUAUACAUUAGGGAUGCCUGGGCAGCUCAGUCGGUUGAGCGUUCAACUUCGACUCAGGUCAUGAUCUCGCAGUUGAGGAGUUCGAGCCCCUCGUCAGGCUCUGUGCUGAUGGCUUGGA
Long non-coding RNA from Felis catus (domestic cat), 9638 nucleotides. RefSeq lists it as uncharacterized. The transcript has 3 exons. NCBI's taxonomy places the organism in Eukaryota, Metazoa, Chordata, Mammalia, Carnivora, Felidae. The record is from RefSeq and is a predicted model, not a curated record.